UAGUGUCUCCUCCCUGUUCACAUGUAGCCCUUUUGGCAGUGCGAUUUCUUUUUGUGUCUGAGUGGAAAACUACAAGAGACAACACAGUUUUAUUCGGAGCCUUAAUCCAGUUGCUCUUUGGAGGUGUUGCAGAUAUAUGAACCAAGCUGCUCACAGGUUUGUUCCUGUCUAUCUUCUCCCCAUUCAAGAAGUUGAUUUGCAGGGAAAUGACAGGUCCACUGCUCCAAACCGCCAGGACUGCUAGAAUCUUUGGUUUUCUGCUGUUAGCCAUCCUUGGUUUCAUUUGCUUAUAUUUAAGAUAUUUAAGGUUCACUGUCGCAAUGAUGAAUCUGCCAAUUGCUACAGAACCUGAACCAAGACACAAGAUUAAUUUUGAU
Long non-coding RNA from Archocentrus centrarchus (flier cichlid), 377 nucleotides. RefSeq lists it as uncharacterized. Lineage: Eukaryota; Metazoa; Chordata; Actinopteri; Cichliformes; Cichlidae. The record is from RefSeq and is a predicted model, not a curated record. The transcript has 4 exons.